CAUAGAGAAGGGGCUGGUGUUUACAGUUUGUGUUGGACUCAUGUUCUCAGGAAUUAGAAACUGCUUGUAUGUUGCUAAACAUGCUGGCGUAUCUCAGAGGUAAUAAUUCUGCUGCAGAGACAAGGUUGGAGUGAAGGUGAUCAUACAAAUUAUAACCUUACUGCGGAUGAAAACCCAGGAUGCAGAAGAGGCAUGGGAGGAGUGCCUUGCAAGCUGAUUCCAGUCUCUGCCAGGAAUGUGGCAGUUCUAAGGGCUGUGUGUACCAUAUGUACCUUUAUCUCUGGGACAUGCACAGCUGGUGGUGUUGUUAGAAACAAGUCUCCAAGCCUAUGGAAAAAGUGAUUCUCUAUAUCAUACAUUGCAGUGGGAGUACAAAAGGUCCUUUGAAAAAACAAAAACAUUCAUUAAAAGUGAUCAUUCACGCUGUUUCUCUAGGGAAACAAGAAACAGCAAGCCAAAAAUGAAGAGCAGUUUCUCUCCAUGCUUACUCAUUGAUGAGAGUCAGUCAUUUACAUGCAAGCCUCUGUUAUCUUAGAUGCUUCGGCUAUCCCACCUGCCCUCUAGCUGCUACUCCAAAAGGGCAGCUAUUAGUCCCCUACUGUUUUUGCUUGCUUCAUUUUUUUAACCACUUCUUAAAAGCCACUGUAGUACCAACAUGUAACUUAAGGGAGAGAAAUAACUAAAACCUUAAAAGCAAAUUAAAAAACACUAGCUUCAGCAAUGCUGUAUUUUACAUAUCCCUCAGUAAGCAGCUUCUAAUAGAGUAUUUUGGCAAGGAGAACCCUACUCUAAACUCUAGAACAGAGUGCAACUGAAAUUAAUGAGGCCUGCUUCAGCAGAUGUUGAAGAACUAGAACAGUUUACAAGUGGACAAAGGAAUUCUUUUGAAAGAGUGGCAAAUCCUGCUGGAUUACAAUGAGUAGUUACAACUUCCAAAUGAACAAAUAGAAGUAUAUCUUAAUUAUAAUAUUUCCUCUUGCCUCACAGACUUAUACUAGUUAGCUCAAAAUAAGCCAUUCAAGGAAUUUUCUGAGUUAGGCAAAUAAAUAAAGUAUUCACAAAUAUAAAUGUAAAUCUAUCACCCCUUUCUUGACAUCAGACAGUUAAGCCCAGAAGACAGGUCACGAAGAAGGAUCGUUAGCAGUGAUUAUUCAAAGCCAAUGGGAAGAUGGAAAAGAAGAAAGAUGAGCUAACAACUGAGAAAGGAUGGCAAUCAAAGCUUACAGAGGAGGCAACACAGCUGUGGUGUUGUCUGGGAUUCUUUUUGGUUGGUUGUUUUUGCCUUAAGCAUAUGAUUCACAAGCUGUCUCAGAUGUUGAGACUUCACUCUAAUAAACAAGGACAAGGGGACCCUCAAGAACACCUCUACCAAAGAGAGAAAAUGUUCCUGUCUUCAAUUUUUUGUUAGUGGGGCAACUUAAACUGUUGAAAUCACAAGGAAAAUGAAAAUCUAACUUCCUUGUAAUAUUUCUCACCUCUAACCUAGCUAAUUCUAUGAUUCUAAUCUCUGGAGUCUUUAUAAUAUCCCAGGUAGCUCAACCAGGUGCUUCAGACUUCUGUUGUAUCAGAGUUGUUUUCUUUGUCUUCUCAUAGUACUAUAGCUUGAAAAAGAUGAGAUGAUGCCAGGAGGCGAGAAACACAUGAACACAAAGCACCGUGUGCUUCCCUCAUUAACAUUUCAGUAUCACUGGAAGCAGAUGGCAACUUUUUUUCUUAUGACGACAUCAGAGCCACUCUAAUCUUUUCAGUCUCUCAGCACCUUUGUGGACAGCCCUAGCAGCAUUUUCAUUUCAUGACCCUGGAUUCCAUUCACAUAUAAGCACGAAAACAAUUCUUGAAGAAUAUUCAGAAAUCUCAAAAAAAAAUCAAGUCCUAAUUUAAUGCAAAUUAACUUCUUCAAAAUCUUCAUAGCAAUUCUAGAAAAAGCAUUUUUAACCAUAGAUAUAAUGCCACAGUUCUGUGAAGAUGUUCACCAACAUAAAAAUGUUUUUGGUAAAAAAAAAUUAGAUGUUCUCACCUUGUUGAAAGCCUAGAAAAGUCUUCUUGACAUUUCUUACCAUGGGUGAGAUGGGAAAUCUACCAUAGAAAACUUCUAGCAGUUGCAUACCUUAAGGAAAUGCUAUUUACAAUCUACAAUUGCUUAAUCUGCUGUUCCCAUACAAAAAUCAGCCAAGUAUUUGAGCUAACAAAAAGAAUAAUAGCUAAACACAUGCAAACUUUUCUCUUCACUAUCACAAAAACUUAAGAAACCAUAAGAACUCCCAUCAGAAAAACAUAUUCCAGAGUUUACAAUUAGAACUCAUGGUUGGUAAGGCUUUUUCUGCUUGUCACUUAACAAGGCAGAGAUAAAGUUUCCAAUGUUUAAUUAACCUGAAAAAUGAACCACAACAAAUUAAGAAAAAUAUCAUCUAUAUCAUCUAGGUAUGCAAGUAUCCAGAGUUCUUGCGACACAAAGUUCCAAGUAACAUUACUGUUUUCCUGCCCUAAUCUCUCUUGCUUUUUAUCAUUAGAUGGGCAAAAUUUACACCACCAGAUCAAGUAUUAUCCACUAUUCUGGCUAUUCAGGAAUUUUUUAAAAGCAAGUACUACAUGAAGUACUAAUGUCUGUCUGCUCAGUUCUGAAAUUACAAGUAAAUUUACAGUCACAUAUGGAACACAUCCACAGGCAGACAACCGCUAUAUUAAACAUCCUAAAAAUUAAGUAGGAUUCAGGUUUAGAAAAGUACAGAGAAAAUAACAGCUAAGACUAUGCCCAAAUCAGUCCCAAUCUCACGAAAAUUCUAGACUAUCCUUUCUGGGUUCAUAGACUUGUCAAGCAGCUUAAGGUCCUCUGUAACAGUUACAACUUCUGCUUAGUUAGCUGUCUUUUUGUAUACAAUUUUUAACAUAAUCAAGUAUUUUAUCCAUCUCCAAGAGCACUAGACAACAAGUUCACACAAGAAUGAAAGGCUCUCCUGUUCCCUCCCUGUCAAGUUUAUGUCAGUUCAAAACACUGUGAGGAGAUACGCAUAAGGGAAAGUGACCUUCUCACAUGCAUAUCGCUUCAUAGAUUCUUCAGGGUCUCUCUCUGCCAGGAGUACCUGACUCUCACUAUCAACUCUCUCAUCAUUUGUGUUUGAGCAACAUAUGCAACAUUGCAAUUAUUUUCUUAAGUGUAAUCAGGGUAGAUUUCUCCUAGGCUUGCCCAGUGUACCCAUACACAUACAUUCACACACACACUGUAAUGCAUACAGUAUCUCAAGAUGUAUACAGUAGAAAUGUUGAAGACUUGGUCAGAGAAUUCAGGAGCCUGUUUCCAAGUUCAUCCUGCAGCCUAAGUCCAAAAGUUUUUCAAACACUUGCUAAACAGUACUGUGGCUGGCCCUCUCUACCAAUCCAUCUUAGUACACACAACACAUAUACACGUGCUUUAAAAGGAAGCAAGUAAAAGUCAAAUUUAUGAAUGCGUUAUGGAAUUAAAAUUUUGCAGAUGUAUUUCCCUACAAACUUACUAAAGAUAAUUACAUGGGCAGAAACCAUCUGCUUAUACUUUGCCUUUAAAAAAUAAAUACACCUUGUUAAUUAACAAAAUAGAAGUACUAUCCUACAUAAAGAAAGUUGACUAAACACAAGUGAGAAAGACAACUCUUACUUUGAUUUACCUAUUCUACCCUAUGCAAUAGCAAUCAUCUUCCAGUGUUUUCCUGCAAUGGCCAAAGCUCGCUCUUUGGCAAAACCAGCUCUCUCCCUCCAGGCUCUAGACCUCACCUGAGAUUUAAGGUCACAAAUACAAUUUAAGACACUCCUGAUAGGUCAGUCUAGUUUUGUAAAUGCAAAACAGUCUGUUAAAACUGAAAUUAAUGACUUCCAGGUAAACAGUAUUGACCUUCAUAUGCAUUAUUCUUCCCGUUAACACAGCCAAGCAUGUCACCAAGUACCGAUUAACACAGUUAUCACAGUAACAGGCAGUUGGGAAGAGCUGCCUCCUUUUAAAACAAAACUGUUAACACAGCAGUAGUUCAGUGGUAGUAAAACUACAAGUCUGUCCAUUAGCUUACAGUCAGUGAAAUCAGCUACGUUGUGACUAUUAACAAAAAUCUUUAUGAGUAUUGCUUAUUUCAAUUAAGAGCACCUAGGCCCUCUGAUUCGUCUGCAGCUGUCAGAGCGAUUGAAGCAUGCCAGCAUAAAAACACACAGGGAAAGCAGCCAAGGAGGUGCCUUUGAGCAUUGCCUAGGAUAAUUCGGCGCAUUCCAAAGUGUGACUUCUGCUCCAGGUUGGGAGUCCCUCAGGAUCAUUAGCACUUCUCAUGAGCUUAAGCAAGACAUCACCUGCUUGGAAGACUAUGAAAACAAGAUUACGCUCAAAAUAGGAACGGACAGAGAAAGGACUCCUAAUCUGCCUGAAAAAGCCAUACUGUAACUUCUGUAUUCAUCAACAGGAAAGUGCAAUUUGUUCCAACAUCCAAUAAAGUCCAGUGAGCCCAAUUCUUUUGUGAAUUGACUCAAAUAAGUCUGUAGAUAACUAAUAUUUCUUCUAAGCAUGAAAGUCAUUUUCAUUUGAAUCUGUGUAGUGCUUGUACUAUCAAGUAAAUAGAAAAAGUAUUCUAGAAUCCUUGCCACAGUGAGAAAAAUAAGUACUACAAUCAUCACGUGGCUGAAAUUUAAGCUUCAAGCCACAAGUCUUACGUUUCAGAAGAGGAUGCAAGUUUCUUGAUUAGCGAAGGGAUCCAUUAGAGUUCAUAUUUUCUAUAAAGAACAGAAAACAGAGUGAUACUGUCUGCUGACACCUAGAGAACUUUAGAGUAUGCUACUAAUGGCAGCUAGGAUGCGACACAGCAACUUUGAGUAUCCACACAAAUGAACAGUCUUCACAGGUACAAGCUUAUAACUUAUUGGACAGGGAAGAAAUUAAGUGUACCAAAGCUGCAGAAUGAAACAUAUUGACACAUUUUCUGAAGAUAGGCAGCUGAUAUGGGAAUCAGUUGAUAACUAGGUUGAGAGGUUCAAUUGCUUGCAUCUCUCCAAAAUGAAGUGAAAAGCACACUAAUGAAUGUUACACAGACAGCACAAAAUCAUGAAACUAUUGGAGAUACCUACAGAAUUAACAAUUCAGUACACUUCUCACACAACAGUUAAAGUAAAAAUGACCACAGCUCCCUUUCUUCCUAUCUAGCUCUAGGCCACAGGAGAGGAACUUUUUAAAGUAUGUAAGAGAAUCUUCUGUUGAUCUCUAAUCUUUAAGGAGACGAACAACAGUACUUAUUGACAUAGCAUGAAUCAUCUUCCUUUAGUACUGGUAGUGAACAAACAGAAAAGUUUGUCA
This is a long non-coding RNA of Numida meleagris (helmeted guineafowl), 5302 nucleotides long. RefSeq lists it as uncharacterized. The record is from RefSeq and is a predicted model, not a curated record. Lineage: Eukaryota; Metazoa; Chordata; Aves; Galliformes; Numididae. The transcript is spliced from 3 exons.